AUUGAACGCUGGCGGCAGGCCUAACACAUGCAAGUCGAACGGUAACAGGAAGCAGCUUGCUGCUUUGCUGACGAGUGGCGGACGGGUGAGUAAUGUCUGGGAAACUGCCUGAUGGAGGGGGAUAACUACUGGAAACGGUAGCUAAUACCGCAUAACGUCGCAAGACCAAAGAGGGGGACCUUCGGGCCUCUUGCCAUCGGAUGUGCCCAGAUGGGAUUAGCUAGUAGGUGGGGUAACGGCUCACCUAGGCGACGAUCCCUAGCUGGUCUGAGAGGAUGACCAGCCACACUGGAACUGAGACACGGUCCAGACUCCUACGGGAGGCAGCAGUGGGGAAUAUUUCACAAUGGGCGCAAGCCUGAUGCAGCCAUGCCGCGUGUAUGAAGAAGGCCUUCGGGUUGUAAAGUACUUUCAGCGGGGAGGAAGGGAGUAGAGUUAAUACCUUUGCUCAUUGACGUUACCCGCAGAAGAAGCACCGGCUAACUCCGUG
RNAcentral lists this ribosomal RNA (490 nucleotides) under uncultured bacterium. Its description in RNAcentral is "partial 16S ribosomal RNA". It matches the Rfam family "Bacterial small subunit ribosomal RNA", at positions 30 to 507 of the family's 1533-position model. The record is from RNAcentral.